GGGUAGUAAAAUUCAAACCUAAAGAAUUUGGCGGUUCUUAAACUUACUAGAGGAACCUGUCCUGUAAUCGAUAGUCCACGAUUUCAUUUACCUAUUUUAUUAUCAGCUUAUAUACCGCCGUUUAGUGAACUAAAUUAAUAGCUUCUCUUAACUAAUUAGUUAAAUAAAUCAGGNCAAGGUGUAGUUUAUGAAUAGGAAGAGAUGGGUUACAAUAAUAUUUUAUACGGAUAUUUUAUUCUAGAAUAAAAUUGAAAGUGGAUUUAGAAGUAAAAUUUUGAUAUUUUGAAGUGAGCUCUUGAGAAUGUACAUAU
Molecule: ribosomal RNA, 311 nt
Filed under: Streptocephalus purcelli
Lineage: Eukaryota; Metazoa; Arthropoda; Branchiopoda; Anostraca; Streptocephalidae
Description: partial 12S ribosomal RNA
Source: RNAcentral